This 469-nucleotide long non-coding RNA is filed under the name Rattus norvegicus (Norway rat). RNAcentral's name for it is "long non-coding RNA NONRATT018517". The record is from RNAcentral. Lineage: Eukaryota; Metazoa; Chordata; Mammalia; Rodentia; Muridae.
AUGGGGGAGUACAUAGGCAGGAAAGGGAUACAGGAAGGUUUCAGCUGCACUGACUUUUGAGAUGAGUUUUCUAUGUAGCCCUGGCUGUCCUGGAACUCACUCAGUAGAGCAGGCUGCCUGGCCUUGAACACAGAGAUAUGCCUCCUCCUGAGUGCUGGGAAUAAAAGCGUGCACUGCCACUACCCAGCUAACAUAUCUUUUUCUUAAUGAGAUAUAAAGUAAUGGUUCUUCAUGUUAUCAGUGGUAUUUUAGAUGUAUUAAAAAUAUGGUUUUAUGGGGUUGGGAAUUUAGCUGGAGAGGUGGCUCAGCGGUUAAGAGCACUGACUGCUCUUCCAGAGGUCCUGAGUUCAAUUCCCAGCAACCACAUGGUGGCUCACAACCAUCUGUAAUGAGACCUGAUGCCCUCUUCUGGUGUGUCUGCAGACAGCGACAGUGUAUUCAUAUAAAUAAUAAAUAAAUAAAUCUUAAA